This is a long non-coding RNA of Acipenser ruthenus (sterlet), 612 nucleotides long. RefSeq lists it as uncharacterized. The record is from RefSeq and is a predicted model, not a curated record. Lineage: Eukaryota; Metazoa; Chordata; Actinopteri; Acipenseriformes; Acipenseridae. The transcript is spliced from 3 exons.
UUCUUGUUGAUCUUGCUGUGAGCAGUGCUGAAAUAAAGCUCCUUCAUUGCCUAAUGGAGUACUUUGUCAGACACUACAAGCAGACCCCUACUAGUCUAGUAACUUUCAUUUCUUACCUGUGUAGUUGCACUUAACGCACUGCGCUUUCUCGCGCAUGCCUAAAGAACUUCUGCUAAGAAAGCAGGGAAGCUCCCAUUCAAAUCUGGACUCAGACUCAAGACUCGGACUUGGACUUGAAUGAUAGUGAUUCGGACUUGGACCUGGAUCCUGAUGACUCGGACUCGACACUCGACACUCGACACUCGACACAGACUCGGACUCAAGGACCCGACCCGAACCCGCUACAACACCGUCUUCUUACCCGUGACCCGACCCGCUUUAAUAAGACCUGCAACCCGACCCGAACAUUGAAGUGUUUGUCCUUUACUUACUCACUCUCUACUCUCUACUUUUUUUUACUCUUAUUUGAAUUUGAUCUUUUGCUACUCAUUUUAUUGUACUUUACAACUGCUAUUAUCUGUAAUGUGAUAUUCUGAAAUGUGAUACUUUACAAUAUGAUACUUUGUACUGUGAUAUUUUGUAAGAAGUAAAUAAUAAUAAUGUUGACCAUGA